This 462-nucleotide ribosomal RNA is filed under the name uncultured bacterium. Its description in RNAcentral is "partial 16S ribosomal RNA". It matches the Rfam family "Bacterial small subunit ribosomal RNA", at positions 338 to 795 of the family's 1533-position model. The record is from RNAcentral.
CCUACGGGAGGCAGCAGUGAGGAAUAUUGGUCAAUGGACGCAAGUCUGAACCAGCCAAGUAGCGUGCAGGAUGACGGCCCUCCGGGCUGUAAACUGCUUUUAGUUGGGAAUAAAAGGGGGCUCGUGAGCCCCGUAUUGUAUGUACUAUCAGAAAAAGGACCGGCUAAUUCCGUGCCAGCAGCCGCGGUAAUACGGAGGGUCCGGGCGUUAUCCGGAUUUAUUGGGUGUAAAGGGAGCGUAGGCCGGCUUUUAAGUCAGCUGUGAAAGUCCGCGGCUCAACCGUGGAAUUGCAGUUGAAACUGGAGGCCUUGAGUGCACACAGGGAUGCCGGAAUUCAUGGUGUAGCGGUGGAAUGCUUAGAUAUCAUGAAGAACUCCGAUCGCGAAGGCAAGUCUCCGGUGUGCAACUGACGCUGAGGCUCGAAAGUGCGGGUAUCGAACAGGAUUAGAUACCCCUGUAGUC